UAGGGAAUAUUGGUCAAUGGACGGAAGUCUGAACCAGCCAUGCCGCGUGCAGGAAGAAGGCCUUCUGGGUUGUAAACUGCUUUUGCCAGGGGCUAAAAAGCUCAUGCGUGAGAAAUUGAAAGUACCUGGUGAAUAAGCCUCGGCUAACUACGUGCCAGCAGCCGCGGUAAUACGUAGGUGGCAAGCGUUGUCCGGAUUUAUUGGGUUUAAAGGGUGCGUAGGCGGCUUUGUAAGUCAGUGGUGAAAUAUGGCAGCUCAACUGUCAGGGUGCCAUUGAUACUGCAGAGCUUGAGUACAGAUGAGGUAGGCGGAAUUGACGGUGUAGCGGUGAAAUGCUUAGAUAUCGUCAAGAACACCGAUAGCGAAGGCAGCUUACUGGGCUGUAACUGACGCUGAGGCACGAAAGUGUGGGGAUCAAAC
Molecule: ribosomal RNA, 420 nt
Filed under: uncultured bacterium
Lineage: Bacteria
Description: bacterial SSU rRNA
Rfam family: Bacterial small subunit ribosomal RNA
Source: RNAcentral